GAUUAGCUUAUAUAUAUAUAACAUGUGAAUCCAAAAACUAUAGUAUAAAGCACAAACAAAGCAUGCAAAAAUUUCGAAAUAAUUUAGUUGCCUGUGGUUAAGCAGCAGUUCAUCACGGGCGUUUUCCAAAGAAAUCCUUGGUCCUCUUCCUUAUGCGCGUGAACAAAAUAACCGCAGCAGCCAGGACCCAUGGUGGGAUAUUACCACCAGUGAUGUUCAACUUUUUGGCCCAUUCUGGAGACUCUUUCAUCACCAUUACUAUCAAUAUGGUGAUCACUGCAACACCAACCAAUAUCCUGGUAAUAGGUUGGAUCAACGAGUCCUUAGGUUCUCCAUCAAUAUGGAUCUCCGAUCCAUCUCUAUAGGUUAGAAUCGAUCGGCCGUUACGGGGAUUGAAUCUGAUAGGAACACCUCGGCCAGUCUCCGGUUUGAAUGCAUAGACCGAUUUGAACCCGUAUUUGUCUAGAAUAUCACGAACCUCUAGCUGGUCUUGCUCAAAUCCACCUAAGGACGACGUGAAUUCGUCGAUCGGACCCUUCCCUUGCUUAUACAGAUGGACCUUGAUCUCCGGGACCUUGGUCUUAACAGACUUAGUCCGGGUUGACGGAAUCGGGUCGGUUUUCGGGUUCGAUAACAGUGGAGACAUCUCGUCGGCGCCGGUGGAUGCUUCUUCGAUCUCUACCAUGAUUGAAAUCGUCGUUGAGUGGCCGGCGAUGACAGAGACGGAAAAGAAGGGAGAGACGAGCCGGGAGGUGGGGGUGGGGUGUGGAGGCGUCAAUUUAAAAGCCUUUCUGAACCAUCAUAUCGU
This 808-nucleotide unclassified non-coding RNA is filed under the name Hevea brasiliensis (rubber tree). The record is from RNAcentral. Lineage: Eukaryota; Viridiplantae; Streptophyta; Magnoliopsida; Malpighiales; Euphorbiaceae.